Caerostris extrusa is the source of this 84-nucleotide non-coding RNA. The record is from the annotation of a GenBank genome assembly. Lineage: Eukaryota; Metazoa; Arthropoda; Arachnida; Araneae; Araneidae.
GGCCUGAUGGCCGAGUGACUAGCGAUCAAAGGCUACAGGUUUCGGUCAUGGAUGUUUGUAGUGGUUCGAAUCCACUUUAAGCCG